This 253-nucleotide ribosomal RNA is filed under the name uncultured bacterium. RNAcentral's name for it is "partial 16S ribosomal RNA". It matches the Rfam family "Bacterial small subunit ribosomal RNA", at positions 524 to 776 of the family's 1533-position model. The record is from RNAcentral.
UACGGGGGGGGCAAGCGUUGUUCGGAAUUACUGGGCGUAAAGGGCUCGUAGGCGGCCAACUAAGUCAGACGUGAAAUCCCUCGGCUUAACCGGGGAACUGCAUCUGAUACUGGAUGGCUUGAGUUUGGGAGAGGGAUGCGGAAUUCCAGGUGUAGCGGUGAAAUGCGUAGAUAUCUGGAGGAAUACCGGUGGCGAAGGCGGCAUCCUGGACCAUUACUGACGCUGAGGCGCGAAAGCUAGGGGAGCAAACGGG